This 115-nucleotide ribosomal RNA is filed under the name Schizosaccharomyces japonicus. RNAcentral also lists the same sequence under 1 other name. The record is from RNAcentral. Lineage: Eukaryota; Fungi; Ascomycota; Schizosaccharomycetes; Schizosaccharomycetales; Schizosaccharomycetaceae.
ACGGCCAUACCUAGGCGAAAACACCAGUUCCCGUCCGAUCACUGCAGUUAAGCGUCUGAGGGCUUCGUUAGUACUCCGGGGUGCUGUAGGUUUUUUCACUUUUGCUGCUCAUUUU